AUCAAGCUUCCUGGAGGAGGUCCUCCCAGGGGAAUAAAGCUACAAACAUGUCCUUCUUUGGCUGCAUUUCCACGUCUGAUCUACAGUUGUAUAUGUUUCACUUUCUAAACACGGAUGGUUUUGACUUUCAGCUGAUCAGAAACAGACUUCUGAAGCCGACGAACGUCAAGUGACCCACUUUCCUGAAGUGACCAAAAGCAGAUCAUCUUCCAUCCACUUAUGAUUUGGGCGUGGAUUCGGCUGAUAAAUGCACAGCCACACACACCAGGACAGCAGGGACGAAUGCCUCAAGCCACCAUUUUGCUUUGCAUUAAUACAACCUGCCUCCAGCUAAAUUACCUGCAUGCCGCACACACUCCUACAUCCGGCUGCCUGUAAAACGGUGCUAGUUAGACGGAUAAACCAAUCUGAGAGGAGUCUGACUUUAAUUUGACGUGAACUUCCGCUCCCCGAGGCCGGCGAUCCUGUCCCAAAACCCGGAGAGCCACCGAGAGAACCCGGUGAUCCAGUGCCAAUCCC
This is a long non-coding RNA of Poecilia latipinna (sailfin molly), 519 nucleotides long. RefSeq lists it as uncharacterized. The record is from RefSeq and is a predicted model, not a curated record. The transcript is spliced from 3 exons. NCBI's taxonomy places the organism in Eukaryota, Metazoa, Chordata, Actinopteri, Cyprinodontiformes, Poeciliidae.